UGGGGAAUAUUGCGCAAUGGGGGCAACCCUGACGCAGCCAUGCCGCGUGUGUGAAGAAGGCCUUAGGGUUGUAAAGCACUUUCAAAAGCGAGGAAAAGCUGGCGGUUAAUACCCGUCAGCCCUGACGUUAACUUUAGAAGAAGCACCGGCUAACUCCGUGCCAGCAGCCGCGGUAAUACGGAGGGUGCGAGCGUUAAUCGGAAUUACUGGGCGUAAAGCGCGCGUAGGCGGUUUGUUAAGUCGGAUGUGAAAGCCCCGGGCUCAACCUGGGAACUGCAUUCGAUACUGGCAAGCUAGAGUACGAGAGAGGGAGGUAGAAUUCCACGUGUAGCGGUGAAAUGCGUAGAUAUGUGGAGGAAUACCAGUGGCGAAGGCGGCCUCCUGGCUCGAUACUGACGCUCAUGUGCGAAAGCGUGGGGAGCAAACAGG
Molecule: ribosomal RNA, 429 nt
Filed under: uncultured bacterium
Lineage: Bacteria
Description: bacterial SSU rRNA
Rfam family: Bacterial small subunit ribosomal RNA
Source: RNAcentral